GCGCCCUACCCGUUGAGCCACAGGCGCCGCCCAAUGCAGUGUUAUUUCUUAUGUGCUAUACAAAUAGUUGAAGGUUAAUUAGCAGUAUAACUAUAAGUAGUAAGACUGCCAGUCUCCUUCAGACAAGA
Nycticebus coucang (slow loris) is the source of this 128-nucleotide small nucleolar RNA. The record is from RefSeq and is a predicted model, not a curated record. Lineage: Eukaryota; Metazoa; Chordata; Mammalia; Primates; Lorisidae.